RNAcentral lists this ribosomal RNA (260 nucleotides) under uncultured bacterium. RNAcentral describes it as "partial 16S ribosomal RNA". It matches the Rfam family "Bacterial small subunit ribosomal RNA", at positions 113 to 352 of the family's 1533-position model. The record is from RNAcentral.
ACACGUAAACAACCUGCCUUCAGGAUGGGGACAACAGACGGAAACGACUGCUAAUACCGAAUAAGUUCCAAGAGCCGCAUGGCCCAUGGAAGAAAAGGUGGCCUCUACCUGUAAGCUAUCGCCUGAAGAGGGGUUUGCGUCUGAUUAGCUGGUUGGAGGGGUAACGGCCCACCAAGGCGACGAUCAGUAGCCGGUCUGAGAGGAUGAACGGCCACACUGGAACUGAGACACGGUCCAGACUCCUACGGGAGGCAGCCAUG